UACGUAGGUGGCGAGCGUUGUCCGGAAUUACUGGGUGUAAAGGGAGUGCAGGCGGGACUGCAAGUCAGAAGUGAAAAUUAUGGGCUUAACCCAUAACCUGCUUUUGAAACUGUAGUUCUUGAGUGAGGCAGAGGCAAGCGGAAUUCCUAGUGUAGCGGUGAAAUGCGUAGAUAUUAGGAGGAACACCAGUGGCGAAGGCGGCUUGCUGGGCCUUUACUGACGCUGAGGCUCGAAAGCGUGGGGAGCAAACAGG
This 253-nucleotide ribosomal RNA is filed under the name [Eubacterium] siraeum. RNAcentral describes it as "partial 16S ribosomal RNA". It matches the Rfam family "Bacterial small subunit ribosomal RNA", at positions 524 to 776 of the family's 1533-position model. Lineage: Bacteria; Bacillati; Bacillota; Clostridia; Eubacteriales; Oscillospiraceae. The record is from RNAcentral.